RNAcentral lists this ribosomal RNA (503 nucleotides) under uncultured bacterium. RNAcentral's name for it is "bacterial SSU rRNA". It matches the Rfam family "Bacterial small subunit ribosomal RNA", at positions 15 to 507 of the family's 1533-position model. The record is from RNAcentral.
GAUCAUGGCUCAGGAUGAACGCUAGCUACAGGCUUAACACAUGCAAGUCGAGGGGCAGCAUGAACUUAGCUUGCUAAGUUUGAUGGCGACCGGCGCACGGGUGAGUAACACGUAUCCAACCUGCCGAUGACUCGGGGAUAGCCUUUCGAAAGAAAGAUUAAUACCCGAUGGCAUAGUUCUUCCGCAUGGUAGAACUAUUAAAGAAUUUCGGUCAUCGAUGGGGAUGCGUUCCAUUAGGUUGUUGGCGGGGUAACGGCCCACCAAGCCUUCGAUGGAUAGGGGUUCUGAGAGGAAGGUCCCCCACAUUGGAACUGAGACACGGUCCAAACUCCUACGGGAGGCAGCAGUGAGGAAUAUUGGUCAAUGGACGAGAGUCUGAACCAGCCAAGUAGCGUGAAGGAUGACUGCCCUAUGGGUUGUAAACUUCUUUUAUACGGGAAUAAAGUGAGGCCACGUGUGCCUUUUUGUAUGUACCGUAUGAAUAAGGAUCGGCUAACUCCGUG